CCCUUAGAUGUCCUGGGCCCACGCGCGCUACACUGACAUGUUCAACAAGCCUCCUAGUUCGACAGGAUUUGGGAAAUCUUUGAACGCAUGUCGUGAUAGGGAUAGAUCAUUGCAAUUAUUGAUCUUGAACGAGGAAUUCCUAGUAAACGCGAGUCAUCAGCUCGCAUUGAUUACGUCCCUGCCCUUUGUACACACCGCCCGUCGCACCUACCGAUUGAAUGUUUCGGUGAAGAUUCCGGAUAGGACUUUUUUGAUUUAUUUCAAUUUUGUCUUAAAAGCUAUCUAAACCUCAACAUUUAGAGGAAGGUGAAGUCGUAACA
This 320-nucleotide ribosomal RNA is filed under the name uncultured eukaryote. RNAcentral describes it as "partial 18S ribosomal RNA". It matches the Rfam family "Eukaryotic small subunit ribosomal RNA", at positions 1470 to 1796 of the family's 1831-position model. The record is from RNAcentral.